This 465-nucleotide ribosomal RNA is filed under the name uncultured Klebsiella sp. RNAcentral's name for it is "bacterial SSU rRNA". It matches the Rfam family "Bacterial small subunit ribosomal RNA", at positions 338 to 795 of the family's 1533-position model. The record is from RNAcentral. Lineage: Bacteria; Pseudomonadati; Pseudomonadota; Gammaproteobacteria; Enterobacterales; Enterobacteriaceae.
CCUACGGGUGGCAGCAGUGGGGAAUAUUGCACAAUGGGCGCAAGCCUGAUGCAGCCAUGCCGCGUGUGUGAAGAAGGCCUUCGGGUUGUAAAGCACUUUCAGCGGGGAGGAAGGCGUUAAGGUUAAUAACCUUGGCGAUUGACGUUACCCGCAGAAGAAGCACCGGCUAACUCCGUGCCAGCAGCCGCGGUAAUACGGAGGGUGCAAGCGUUAAUCGGAAUUACUGGGCGUAAAGCGCACGCAGGCGGUCUGUCAAGUCGGAUGUGAAAUCCCCGGGCUCAACCUGGGAACUGCAUUCGAAACUGGCAGGCUAGAGUCUUGUAGAGGGGGGUAGAAUUCCAGGUGUAGCGGUGAAAUGCGUAGAGAUCUGGAGGAAUACCGGUGGCGAAGGCGGCCCACUGGACAAAGACUGACGCUCAGGUGCGAAAGCGUGGGGAGCAAACAGGAUUAGAUACCCGAGUAGUC